RNAcentral lists this ribosomal RNA (253 nucleotides) under uncultured bacterium. Its description in RNAcentral is "partial 16S ribosomal RNA". It matches the Rfam family "Bacterial small subunit ribosomal RNA", at positions 524 to 776 of the family's 1533-position model. The record is from RNAcentral.
UACGUAGGGGGCGAGCGUUGUCCGGAAUUAUUGGGCGUAAAGGGUGCGUAGGCGGCAUGGCAAGUCCUGUGUGAAAGGUCGCGGCUUAACCGCGGUAGGUCAUGGGAAACUGCUGUGCUUGAGUGCCGGAGAGGAUAGCGGAAUUCCACGUGUAGCGGUGAAAUGCGUAGAUAUGUGGAGGAACACCAGUGGCGAAGGCGGCUAUCUGGACGGUAACUGACGCUGAGGCACGACAGCUGGGGGAGCAAACCGG